RNAcentral lists this ribosomal RNA (683 nucleotides) under uncultured beta proteobacterium. RNAcentral describes it as "bacterial SSU rRNA". It matches the Rfam family "Bacterial small subunit ribosomal RNA", at positions 42 to 723 of the family's 1533-position model. The record is from RNAcentral. Lineage: Bacteria; Pseudomonadati; Pseudomonadota; Betaproteobacteria.
GCAUGCCUUACACAUGCAAGUCGAACGGUAACAGGUCUUCGGAUGCUGACGAGUGGCGAACGGGUGAGUAAUACAUCGGAACGUGCCCGAUCGUGGGGGAUAACGAAGCGAAAGCUUUGCUAAUACCGCAUAAGAUCUACGGAUGAAAGCAGGGGACCGCAAGGCCUUGCGCGAACGGAGCGGCCGAUGGCAGAUUAGGUAGUUGGUGGGAUAAGAGCUUACCAAGCCGACGAUCUGUAGCUGGUCUGAGAGGACGACCAGCCACACUGGGACUGAGACACGGCCCAGACUCCUACGGGAGGCAGCAGUGGGGAAUUUUGGACAAUGGGCGAAAGCCUGAUCCAGCCAUGCCGCGUGCAGGUUGAAGGCCUUCGGGUUGUAAACUGCUUUUGUACGGAACGAAAAGACUCUGGUUAAUACCUGGGGUCCAUGACGGUACCGUAAGAAUAAGCACCGGCUAACUACGUGCCAGCAGCCGCGGUAAUACGUAGGGUGCAAGCGUUAAUCGGAAUUACUGGGCGUAAAGCGUGCGCAGGCGGUUAUAUAAGACAGAUGUGAAAUCCCCGGGCUCAACCUGGGAACUGCAUUUGUGACUGUAUAGCUAGAGUACGGCAGAGGGGGAUGGAAUUCCGCGUGUAGCAGUGAAAUGCGUAGAUAUGCGGAGGACACCGAUGGCGAAGGCA